CCCGUCACGCCAUGGAAGUCGGUAGCACCCGAAGUCGCUGGUCUAAUCCCGCGCAAGCGGGAAAGAAGGCGCCUAAGGUGAGAUCGAUGACUGGGGCG
RNAcentral lists this ribosomal RNA (98 nucleotides) under uncultured bacterium. RNAcentral describes it as "partial 16S ribosomal RNA". The record is from RNAcentral.